Long non-coding RNA from Acipenser ruthenus (sterlet), 3590 nucleotides. RefSeq lists it as uncharacterized. NCBI's taxonomy places the organism in Eukaryota, Metazoa, Chordata, Actinopteri, Acipenseriformes, Acipenseridae. The record is from RefSeq and is a predicted model, not a curated record. The transcript is spliced from 3 exons.
GGAUGGUAAGAACCAGAAUGCAUUGGGAUGGGAAUUUAAGAGCCGUACGGUCACUCUGUGACUCUGUGUAGCGCAGACACAAGCAGAUGGGGCCAACAUAUUUAAGAGGUCACAUCAUCACAGGGUCUUCUGAAUGAGGAAAAUCAAAGACAGCAGUCCACAACCAGCAGAAAAAUGAUUAGAACUCCUCUGAAUGAGUGCAAACAACACACAUUUAAGACCACACGACCUGGUGUCAGUACAGUGCAACAGAGAGAAGAGCCAGGAUGGGAUUUAUGCAUUCAUCAAGAUGUUUAAAAUGUUCUGAAGGGAUUGUGACCACUCCUCAAUGAUCACCGGAAAGAAAUCUGCAGCAAAGUCUGUUCUCCAGAAUGAGUCUUGCCUUUAAGACAUCAGGAAUUUGCACCAUCAGUAAUUUGCAGCUUCCAACCAAACAAGUCUGUCAAAUCUACAGCCAUGCCCAUCUUUACUGAGACUGACUAACAAUAGGCAGAUCCUGCUACGUUUAUGGUGACUGUACUAGGAACAAAGAAAUCAUCAACCACGGCAGUUACCACUGAACCACUGCCCUGAAGUCAGCUCAGAACAAAAAAGAGUAAACUCCAUUUUUGAGAAAAAAACACUCAAAAUGACAAAAAGGUCUUGAGUUUUUAGAAAAUCUGUUUUUUAGGGAUAUUAUUGUUUUAGUUUCCAGCCCUAAUUGUAUUUAUAUCAGGCUACACUUUAAGAUCAUUUGGAGUACUGGAUCAGUGAGCCAGUGGUUGUUAACAUAUCUUGGGCUUGUAUUUUGUGGUUAUAUCACAUAAGGCUGUCACACACUGACCACUUAACUUCUGAGCCUAGAACUCAUGGGAAGAACUUUACUUGCAAUGAGAUUGUACAAACCUGAACUGUUAACUGCCAGGAAUUUGGAGCAGUGGAGCUUAGCCCAAGUUCUCAGCCUCUGGUUAGUUUCAAAAGCAAGUCUAACGUUACCUGUGAGACAAAGAACUUCCUGACACCUGUCCCUCCCUUUCGACAGCUGAGGUCGAGAGCCUGCACUUACGAUUGCAGCUAUAGUCUAGUUGCCAUAGCAACAGUCCUCUAGGGCCCAUUAACGAUUGUUCUCUGAGAAGGCCGGGGAGCUGUCAAACUGUCAUAUGCUUCUUUUUUAAUCUUUUUCUUUUCUUCUUUUUUAAAGAAUAUUUUUGACAGCUAAUGCUGUCAACCUGGUGAGAAAACGCAUGAGUCUGUGAUGGAAUUUGUCAGCUGGUUCCUUUGGCUAGCUGCAGGAUGUCUCAUUUACCUGUUCUCCAGCUGGGUAACUUGUCGAUAAGAUGCAGUUUUAUCUGCAUUUCCUUUUGCUCUUCCUGCUGUAGCGAACCACAACUAGGAAUACAAUUUAAAAUGCAGUUCAUUUUAUACAGUUUCUGUGUCUACUAUUCUGUCUCAACCUCACUGAAACAGACCCCAAAUACCAACUGUAACAGAGUCCCCAAAUUCUCCUAAUCUAUGUCCCGCUGUAGUACACCUUGCUGUACUACAGCGGGACAUAGCGGGACAUACUCUCCUAAAUUCAGUACCCCUCUAUAUCUGACUAUAAGCGUCGUCUAACUGAAAUGAAGUCACUGAGAGUUGUUGUAAUUGAAAAAAAGGGGUCUGAAAAGCUGAAGGCUAAAGAAUGUGAUCCAGCAUGUAUGAGACAGAAAUGAGGCUCAGCUAUUGUGAAUGAUGGACCUGUAGCCUCUAUUGUUGUAGUGGUGUUCAGUACUUGUCACCUUGUUAACUCCCUGUGAAAAGUUAACCUUGGAACUGUGUGGUGGAUUGCCCUAAUGCCCUGUCUCUGCCUGCGUGUCGAUGACGUGAUUAUUAUCCUGUACUACAGAGUGGUGUUCAAAGGAGCCUUAGGUUUUCUGUCAGCAGCAAGUGACUGACAGACAGUUCCAUGGUUCAAAGCUUAAUUUGGUGCAUGACUAAAGCUGGAUUGUAAAUGUUUCCAAAUUGCACCGCAUUAUAUUGCAUCCAUUAAUAGCAACCCCAUAAUUGCACAAAGUAUGUUUACUUAAGAAAUGCAAAGUGUUAAUUCUAGUACAGCUAUUACUGAGAGUUAUUGAAAUAGUUCUCCCCUUGUGGGACGCUUUUGAAAAUGGGAUGUACUGCACUUGGGCCUGUCUUGUUAAUGGCAAACAAAUGCAGUAUUUAAUGAGCAAUUGUGCUAGAAUAAAUAGUAAACUUUCACUACAAUCAAGUGGGACAUUACAUUUUCUGAUGCCUCAAGUGAAGAGUGAACCAGUUUAAACAUGGGAAUAGGUUUGUUUGUUGUACUCAACUAAAGCUGCACAAUCUUUUAAAGUAUUUAUGAGUUGGAUAUUUGAACAUCCUUAAUGGCGAAGAAAGAAAGAAAGAAACAGUAAAUGCAUUUAUGGCAUACUUAUGUGGAUUAGUAAUUAUAAGUUACAGCAUUUCUUGAGGCAGGCAGAAUUUCCAUAAAUGUCUAUUAAUGAUCAUGUAUUUAAUCUACCAUAAAUGUGUAAUGUUAAAUACACCAUAGUUACCACUAUAAUCGGAGGCUUCCCAUUGCCAUUCAUUUAUUCAGAUGUUACUCUUUGAAAGCCUGUUCCAAAGGAAGUUAUACUGUAUACAUUGGCAGCAUUUUUUUAAAAUGGUACUGAAUAGCCUGAUGUCUACUCCCACUGCGCCACAAUGGCUGUUACAGUGUUGGUUUUGUAGUAUCAUGUUUUUUUGAACGAUAAACACAUGCAAGACUCUUACAUGUUAGUGUCAGGGGGUCAAAGGGAAGCCAGACAAGGUAAAAGUCAAUGAGAUACACAGAUACACAUUCCUGUUGGAGAACAGUGUGCACCAAAUAGUUUAACCCUUUCACUCCAGCCCUGCGAUUCUACACAAGAAAGGCACCCUAUCAAUGCCAUUACCAUAAGAUCAACAGAACAUGCAGGAUAACAAAUCCUUGUGUACAACCAUUGCUUUUACAGUAGUGCUCCAUCACUAUCCGAUUCAGAGCUAUUUGUAGGAGCCAUUCCCCUUUCUAUGAGGGACUCCCUAAGCACCCUAUUAUGUGAAUGCACCAGGAGAUAACAACCUGCAUUGUAGAGAGGAUUAUCACUUUACUCUUUAUCUGCAUAUUGUAAUUCUCUCAGCAAAGAAAAGCAAGAUCACUUGUCAUCUGUAGAAUCAAGAAUUCUCCUAUAGAAUGGGAAUGGAAGAUAGGGGCUGCAAUUCUGAGAUCAGCUACAAAAUAUCUGAGUGUGAAAAGUUUUGUAAUCGUUCUCCUUCUGAACAAUAAGCUUCAGGUCUUGCUUAGGGGUCAUCUGGGGCUAUCAGUGGUGUCAUCUUCCAUAUUAUAUGCUAAACGGAGGUCAUAGGCAUUUCAAAUCCCAUGUCAAUUGUCAAAGUGUUCCAGUUGACUAAAUUUCCACCAAAAAUGUAAGCUUCUCUUUCGACUCUGAUUAUGUUGUGUUAACACAAUAAAUCGACUUAUAUUAUAUAUUUACUUCUUGCAAACAUAUGUGCUAAUAAAGUGUAAAAUGUAUUUGCACACUAAAAUGUAAACCAAUUUGAGCAACAUUAUUUGACAAUGCAAGGGGAAAAUA